This is a long non-coding RNA of Uranotaenia lowii, 925 nucleotides long. RefSeq lists it as uncharacterized. The record is from RefSeq and is a predicted model, not a curated record. The transcript has 4 exons. Lineage: Eukaryota; Metazoa; Arthropoda; Insecta; Diptera; Culicidae.
AUCAAAUAUCAUACACUAAAUCGUUGAUAUUAUUCUGUUCUGAUUAUAUGAAUAGUUACUAUUCGAGUAAUCGUUCUUAAAUCUUCAAGUUUUUAGCUAAUUUUUCAACUUUUCAUGCGUCUUUGCUAGAAAUGAUAAAAAAAUAUUUUUGUAAGAUACACGUAAUAAUCCUGAAAUCCAAACUCGUGAUGCAACUGAGUGUGGCGUGUGUCUUCACUCAACGAAGCAAAAAUAAAAAAUGGCGAGCGUGUGGUUGAAGUGAGCAGAAGCUCGCAUGUAAAAAUGGCAGAUAUUUUCAGCCGAAAUCUCGGAAACGUUCGGAAACAUAUACAUCUUCUGGUAGCGGUGAAAUCGUCGAGGAGGAAGUCAAAAAAUACGUCCGGCCUAGUUCCUCAGCCACGAUUGCGACCACCAGACACCAGCCGCUACCGACCGUACCGCCAUUAAUUUUUCUUCUCCCACGGCACAAGAGCACUCGGCAACAGACUGGGCACAGCGGUCACAAGUGGUCAGGGACGAUAUGCUGGAGUCUCAAGUGUUCGCCGAAACAAAUCAUAACAGAACACAAAUAGAAUGUGUACUUUUUUGCUGUGAUUUCGUGUCCCGAACCAAACGGCACCAGUUUCUUCCAAUUGUAAAAUAAGCUCCGGCAAAAAAAAGUGCCAGUGCCAAAAUGAAUACCAACACUUCCGGCACGCUGUCGAACGGGCCAGCGGAAACGACGAAAAAUUCUGCGGUUGAAAUCGCUCAAAAACAGAAAGCUCUGCAGGCACGUCUUCAACUGCCAUCAUUGUCAACGGAUUCCCGGACAAGUGAUUCGGAACCGUGUGAGCCACUUGCAGAAAUUCAGGAACGGAAGAAUCUUUUUCCAGAAAUAACUAUCCCACUGGCUAAAAGCAGAAACAACAGGAAGGUGGUGAACACC